RNAcentral lists this ribosomal RNA (373 nucleotides) under uncultured organism. RNAcentral's name for it is "bacterial SSU rRNA". It matches the Rfam family "Bacterial small subunit ribosomal RNA", at positions 526 to 896 of the family's 1533-position model. The record is from RNAcentral.
CGUAGGAGACGAGCGUUAUCCGGAUUUACUGGGCGUAAAGCGUGUGCAGGCGGUUCGGCAAGUUGGAUGUGAAAUCUCCCGGCUCAACUGGGAGGGGUCGUUCAAAACUACCGAACUUGAGGUCAUCAGAGGAAGGUGGAACUCCGGGUGUAGUGGUGAAAUGCGUAGAUAUCCGGAGGAACACCAGUGGCGAAGGCGGCCUUCUGGGAUGAUCCUGACGCUCAGACACGAAAGCUAGGGGAGCGAACGGGAUUAGAGACCCCGGUAGUCCUAGCUGUAAACGAUGUAGACUUGGCGUCGGAGGGUUCAAAACCUUCGGUGUCGUAGCUAACGCGAUAAGUCUACCGCCUGGGGGACUACGGCCGCAAGGUUA